This 472-nucleotide ribosomal RNA is filed under the name uncultured bacterium. RNAcentral's name for it is "bacterial SSU rRNA". It matches the Rfam family "Bacterial small subunit ribosomal RNA", at positions 328 to 793 of the family's 1533-position model. The record is from RNAcentral.
CGCUUUCACUCCUACGGGAGGCAGCAGUGGGAAUAUUGCACAAUGGGCGCAAGCCUGAUGCAGCCAUGCCGCGUGUAUGAAGAAGGCCUUCGGGUUGUAAAGUACUUUCAGCAGUGAGGAAGGUGGUGUCGUUAAUAGCGGUAUCAUUUGACGUUAGCUGCAGAAGAAGCACCGGCUAACUCCGUGCCAGCAGCCGCGGUAAUACGGAGGGUGCGAGCGUUAAUCGGAAUUACUGGGCGUAAAGCGCAUGCAGGUGGUUUGUUAAGUCAGAUGUGAAAGCCCGGGGCUCAACCUCGGAAUUGCAUUUGAAACUGGCAGACUAGAGUACUGUAGAGGGGGUAGAAUUUCAGGUGUAGCGGUGAAAAUGCGUAGAGAUCUGAAGGAAUACCGGUGGCGAAGGCGGCCCCCUGGACAGAUACUGACACUCAGAUGCGAAAGCGUGGGGAGCAAACAGGAUUAGAUACCCUGGUAG